UACGUAGGGGGCAAGCGUUGUUCGGAAUUACUGGGCGUAAAGGGUGCGCAGGCCGCGCGGGCAGUCAAAUGUGUAAUCCAGGGGCUCAACCCCUGAACUGCGCUUGAUACUUCCGCGCUCGAGCUUUGGAGAGGAGUCUGGAAUUCUCGGUGUAGCAGUGAAAUGCGUGGAUAUCAGGAGGAACACCGGUGGCGAAGGCGGAUCUCUGGGCCGAUACUGACGCUGAGGAGCGAAAGCGUGGGGAGCGAACAGG
RNAcentral lists this ribosomal RNA (253 nucleotides) under uncultured bacterium. RNAcentral's name for it is "partial 16S ribosomal RNA". It matches the Rfam family "Bacterial small subunit ribosomal RNA", at positions 524 to 776 of the family's 1533-position model. The record is from RNAcentral.